RNAcentral lists this ribosomal RNA (497 nucleotides) under uncultured bacterium. RNAcentral's name for it is "partial 16S ribosomal RNA". It matches the Rfam family "Bacterial small subunit ribosomal RNA", at positions 28 to 507 of the family's 1533-position model. The record is from RNAcentral.
GAUGAACGCUGGCGGCGUGCCUAAUACAUGCAAGUCGAGCGAACAGACGAGGAGCUUGCUCCUCUGACGUUAGCGGCGGACGGGUGAGUAACACGUGGAUAACCUACCUAUAAGACUGGGAUAACUUCGGGAAACCGGAGCUAAUACCGGAUAACAUGUUGAACCGCAUGGUUCAACAGUGAAAGACGGUCUUGCUGUCACUUAUAGAUGGAUCCGCGCCGCAUUAGCUAGUUGGUAAGGUAACGGCUUACCAAGGCAACGAUGCGUAGCCGACCCGAGAGGGUGAUCGGCCACACUGGAACUGAGACACGGUCCAGACUCCUACGGGAGGCAGCAGUAGGGAAUCUUCCGCAAUGGGCGAAAUCCUGACGGAGCAACGCCGCGUGAGUGAAGAAGGUCUUCGGAUCGUAAAACUCUGUUAUUAGGGAAGAACAAAUGUGUAAGUAACUAUGCACGUCUUGACGGUACCUAAUCAGAAAGCCACGGCUAACUACGUG